AACCCUUGAGAGUGGCGAACGGGUGAGUAAUAUAUCGGAACGUGCCCAGUCGGUGGGGGAUAACGUAGACGAAAGUUACGCUAAUACCGCAUACGAUCUAAGGAUGAAAGCGGGGGAUCGCAAGACCUCGCGCGAUUGGAGCGGCCGAUAUCAGAUUAGGUAGUUGGUGAGGUAAAGGCUCACCAAGCCAACGAUCUGUAGCUGGUCUGAGAGGACGACCAGCCACACUGGAACUGAGACACGGUCCAGACUCCUACGGGAGGCAGCAGUGGGGAAUUUUGGACAAUGGACGCAAGUCUGAUCCAGCCAUUCCGCGUGCAGGAUGAAGGCCCUCGGGUUGUAAACUGCUUUUGUACGGAACGAAAAGGUUUCUAUUAAUACUAGGAGCUCAUGACGGUACCGUAAGAAUAAGCACCGGCUAACUACGUG
This 429-nucleotide ribosomal RNA is filed under the name uncultured bacterium. Its description in RNAcentral is "bacterial SSU rRNA". It matches the Rfam family "Bacterial small subunit ribosomal RNA", at positions 84 to 507 of the family's 1533-position model. The record is from RNAcentral.